Molecule: ribosomal RNA, 429 nt
Filed under: uncultured bacterium
Lineage: Bacteria
Description: bacterial SSU rRNA
Rfam family: Bacterial small subunit ribosomal RNA
Source: RNAcentral
UGGGGAAUUGUUCGCAAUGGGCGCAAGCCUGACGACGCAACGCCGCGUGGAGGACGAAGAUCUUCGGGUCGUAAACUCCUGUCGAGUGGGAAGAAUGGAUCGGGGAUGAAUAAUCUCCGGUAUUGACGGUACCACUAAAGGAAGCCCCGGCUAACUCCGUGCCAGCAGCCGCGGUAAUACGGGGGGGGCAAGCGUUGUUCGGAAUUACUGGGCGUAAAGGGCUCGUAGGCGGCCAACUAAGUCGGACGUGAAAUCCCCAGGCUCAACCUGGGAACUGCGUCCGAUACUGGAUGGCUUGAAUUCGGGAGAGGGAUGCAGAAUUCCAGGUGUAGCGGUGAAAUGCGUAGAUAUCUGGAGGAAUACCGGUGGCGAAGGCGGCAUCCUGGACCGACAUUGACGCUGAGGAGCGAAAGCUAGGGGAGCAAACGG